Sapajus apella (tufted capuchin) is the source of this 991-nucleotide long non-coding RNA. RefSeq lists it as uncharacterized. The record is from RefSeq and is a predicted model, not a curated record. Lineage: Eukaryota; Metazoa; Chordata; Mammalia; Primates; Cebidae. The transcript is spliced from 2 exons.
CGCACGCGCGGGGACGUACACGCCGGGACGCACGUCCGCGGCCCCGCCUCGUCUGGGGACUGUACAGGGUUCGCUCCUGCUGAGCUGUUUCCAAAAGUACACGUCGUGCGGUUUUGAGUCAUUGCGGUCUGGAGUGAGACGAGGCGUGUGCCUCGACUGCCAUCUCCGGCUAUAGAAAACGUUUGAAGGAGUCAGAGAGUACAUCUCCCUCCUACCUACUCGGUGGAAAACACCGACGGCCUUAGUGUCCGUGAAGCCCUGCCACGGAGGGUGGCUUCUUCUCCAGAGAUUUCGGCAAGCACUGAAUUGUCAGAGGGCACCAGACCCCCAUCCCACUCGUUAUUUUCUUCAAGGACUGAAGAGCAGGUUUUGUUUCACUUCUUAGAGGUACCAAGAUUCCAGAUCCCGAGUUUCAGUUGCCAUCGAUAUCACUGGAAUGGUGAGGCCCUUGUGCACCACGUAAAGCUCUGCUCUCUGUGAGAGUUUGUCGUGUCGUUUAAGAAGAUAUGAAAUACACCUGGCCCUGGUAUGGGACCCUAACUACAUAUGGGCAAGUCACUUGGUAUUUAAACGGGCCUCAGUUUUCUCAUCUGUAGUGAAGUCUCUUUGGUCUCAGCUGCAGAAGUGAGAUGAUGAAGGGAACGUUACUGUUUGGAAAGCAUCACAAUAAGACACCCCUGUUGUGCCACCGCUGUGGCUCUAAGGCCUGCCACCUUCAGAAGAUGACUGUGGCAAAUGUGGCUACCCUGCCAAAUGCAAGAGGAAGUAUAACUGGAGUGCCAAGGAGAGAAGAUGAAAUACCUCUGGGUCUGGGUGAAUGAGACACCUAAAAAUUGUAUAUUGCAGAUUCAGGCACAGAUGCCGUGAAGGAACAACUCAACCCAAGAGGGCAGCUGUUGCGGCAUCCAGUUUAUCUUAAGAAUUUCAAUGAUUAGUCAUGCGAUAAAUGUUCUGGUUUAAAAAAAUAAAUAAAUAAGUAAAUAUUUGCUGA